Long non-coding RNA from Antechinus flavipes (yellow-footed antechinus), 1710 nucleotides. RefSeq lists it as uncharacterized. Lineage: Eukaryota; Metazoa; Chordata; Mammalia; Dasyuromorphia; Dasyuridae. The transcript is spliced from 2 exons. The record is from RefSeq and is a predicted model, not a curated record.
AAAAAUAAAAUUGCAGGAUUGAAUAUUUAUCCCUAUUAAAUUUUGUCAUAGAUUCAUGCUAUCGUUUCAAUGAGUCAGUGUUUUUUGGAUCCCAACUCUGUUAUCCAAUUGGUCAACUCUCCAUCCAGGAUUUGUGUCCUUUGCAAAUCUGAGGAGAUAUUCACCUUCAUCCAAGUCAUUGAUAAACAUGUUGAACAGUACAGUGAAAAGAAUAGAACCCCAUGCACUUCAAUGGGUAGUUCCCUCCUAGUUGACUUGCAUUUUUAAUAUUCAUUGGAUCAUGAGAUUGUAGAUUUAGAGCUAGAAAGGACCUCUGAGGUCAUUGAAUACAACCUUCUCCUUUUUCAGAUGAGGAGCCUGAAGACCAGAGAGAAGUGGUCUUCUGAGUAAGACUCAGUAAGUCUGACUUACCCAGUCAGAAAAUGAGCAAGUGGUGAAGGGAGCUUUCCAACUCCAGUCUUCCAGAUGUCAAGUCCUGCACUUAAUGUAUUGCACCACAUUGGUCUAAUCCAGAUCUGAGACUACCUGAUUGCUCUUUCAUUUAGUCCACAUCUUUCUUUCCUCAUAUGUUCCCCUACCUAUAAUCAUCUUCUCAUUUCUCUUACUGCUAUAUCCAGUCUGACUGCUCCCUUUGUUGUUCAUUUGUUUCAGUUGUGUUUGACUCUUGACGAACCUAUUUGGGAUUUUCUUGGCAAAGAUACUGAAGUAGUUUGCCGUUUCCUUCUUCAGCUCAUUUUAGAUGAGGCAACUGAGGUAAAACAGGGUGAAAUGACUUAUUCAGAAUCACAUAGGUAGCAAAUUCAAAUUUGAACAGGGGAAAAUGAGAUUUCAAGUGUGCUAUUCUGUCCACUCUGUCACCUUGCUGCCCCCGGGACCUUAAAUCCCCUCAAUUUUCCUAUCUGUAUAUACAAGGGAUUGGCCAUUCUUUGAUUGAUUAGAUGACUAUUAAUAAACACUUAUUUACUAACUUCUUCCCAAAGGAAUCUGUUUUGUAAUAGGAGAGCUGGGGAGAGAUACACAGAUACAGGAGAAGAGAUAGAGAGACAUAGUCAUAGAGAGUGACAGAAAAAGCAAAAAAUUAUGGACAGUGAGACUCAGAGAAAAGAGCCAAGGAGACAGACACGAAAGAGUGACAGAGGCAGACUGAAAGAGACAGAGGGACAGAGACUAAGGUAGAACUGGCACAAGUAGGUGGUCUGAUUUCAAGGCAAAAAAAAAUCUUUCAUAAAUUAAGAGAUGUCUAGUCUCAGCUUUUCACUUAAGUCUCUGAAUUUGAGUAGUAUUUUUUAGUUCGGUAACAAGAUCAUAUUCAAUGAUCUCUGAGUUGUGUCCCAGCUUCCAGAAGCCAAACAAAGUUGUAAUGACCGCGUAUUUAAAAUCAGCCUGAGUCAGGAAUUCAGGUUAAGGGAAAAAUCUUCAAUCUUUAUUGAAGUGAAGAGGUGAAAAAAGAUUGCGAUAGGAAUAUGGGCAAGAAAGAUUGUGAUAGCAAUACGGGCAGCUGCGACAGGAAGCCAGCUAGCAGAGAGAGACCUGAGCUGAAAAGCCGUGGCAAUGGCAAUGGCAAUGCGAGCAGUCUCUCCUUCCCCUUCCUUUUCUACUCCCCUGCCUCCACCCACCAAAAUCGUCAUUUCCUAUACAACACAUCAGGACUUGCACAAAAAGUGGGCAGGGGCCAUUCUUUCUCCAAGCAUAUAUAUUAAUAGAGUAUGG